RNAcentral lists this ribosomal RNA (801 nucleotides) under uncultured bacterium. RNAcentral describes it as "bacterial SSU rRNA". It matches the Rfam family "Bacterial small subunit ribosomal RNA", at positions 8 to 796 of the family's 1533-position model. The record is from RNAcentral.
AGAGUUUGAUCCUGGCUCAGGACGAACGCUGGCGGCGCGCUUAACACAUGCAAGUCGAGCGAGAACCAGGCCUUCGGGCUUGGGGAAAGCGGCGAACGGGUGAGUAACACGUGGGCAACCCACCCUUGGUAUCCGGAUAGCCCGAGGAAACUCGGAUUAAUACGGAAUGGCCCAACAGUCUUUCGGGACGGUUGGAAAAGGUAGCUUCGGCCUCCGACCAAGGACGGGCCCGCGGUGGAUUAGCUUGUUGGUGGGGUAAUGGCCUACCAAGGCGACGAUCCAUAGCUGGUCUGAGAGGACGAUCAGCCACACUGGGACUGAGACACGGCCCAGACUCCUACGGGAGGCAGCAGUGGGGAAUCUUGCGCAAUGGGCGAAAGCCUGACGCAGCGACGCCGCGUGGGGGAAGAAGGCUUUCGGGUUGUAAACCCCUUUCAGGAGAGACGAAGCCACUCAGGUUAAUAGCCGAGAGGGUGACGGUACCUCCAGAAGAAGCCCCGGCUAACUACGUGCCAGCAGCCGCGGUAAUACGUAGGGGGCAAGCGUUGUCCGGAUUUAUUGGGCGUAAAGAGCGUGUAGGCGGUUAGGUAGGUCCGUUGUGAAAACUCGAGGCUCAACCCCGAGACGCCGAUGGAAACCCCCUAACUAGAGUCCGGAAGAGGAGAGUGGAAUUCCUGGUGUAGCGGUGAAAUGCGCAGAUAUCAGGAAGAACACCCGUGGCUAAGGCGGCUCUCUAGUACGGUACUGACGCUGAGACGCGAAAGCGUGGGGAGCGAACAGGAUUAGAUACCCUGGUAGUCC